Molecule: ribosomal RNA, 255 nt
Filed under: uncultured bacterium
Lineage: Bacteria
Description: partial 16S ribosomal RNA
Rfam family: Bacterial small subunit ribosomal RNA
Source: RNAcentral
UACAGAGGGUGCGAGCGUUGUCCGGAAUCACUGGGCGUAAAGGGCGCGUAGGUGGUGGUUUAAGCGUGCGGUGAAAGCUCGGAGCUCAACUCCGAGUCGGCCGUGCGAACUGGGCUCACUGGAGCAUAGUAGAGGCAGGUGGAAUUCCGGGUGUAGCGGUGGAAUGCGUAGAGAUCCGGAAGAACACCGGUGGCGAAGGCGAGUCCCUGGACAACUUCUGACGCUGAGGCACGAAAGCUAGGGGGAGCAAACAGG